This 508-nucleotide ribosomal RNA is filed under the name uncultured bacterium. RNAcentral's name for it is "partial 16S ribosomal RNA". It matches the Rfam family "Bacterial small subunit ribosomal RNA", at positions 30 to 523 of the family's 1533-position model. The record is from RNAcentral.
AUUGAACGCUAGCGGCAGGCCUAACACAUGCAAGUCGAGCGGCAGCGGGAAAGUAGCUUGCUACUUUUGCCGGCGAGCGGCGGACGGGUGAGUAAUGCCUGGGAAAUUGCCCAGUCGAGGGGGAUAACAGUUGGAAACGACUGCUAAUACCGCAUACGCCCUACGGGGGAAAGCAGGGGACCUUCGGGCCUUGCGCGAUUGGAUAUGCCCAGGUGGGAUUAGCUAGUUGGUGAGGUAAUGGCUCACCAAGGCGACGAUCCCUGGCUGGUCUGAGAGGAUGAUCAGCCACACUGGAACUGAGACACGGUCCAGACUCCUACGGGAGGCAGCAGUGGGGAAUAUUGCACAAUGGGGGAAACCCUGAUGCAGCCAUGCCGCGUGUGUGAAGAAGGCCUUCGGGUUGUAAAGCACUUUCAGCGAGGAGGAAAGGUUGAUGCCUAAUACGUAUCAACUGUGACGUUACUCGCAGAAGAAGCACCGGCUAACUCCGUGCCAGCCGCCGCAGUAA